AGGAGUUUAUCGUGUACGCAAGUCAUUGGGUGAAUAAAACCCAAAGGCGAAAUGAAAGUAAAGAGUUGAGUUUAUAAAAUAAAGAAUUUAUUUUUUAUUUUAUUCUUGCUCUCUUAAGGGAAGAUGAAAAUUUAAUAUAUAAUUUUAUUAUUUAUUAAAAUUUUUCGCAUUCCCAGGGCGCUUGUUUCACGCUUUGCGUGUCGAUGCGCACCUAGAGCGUACACGCUGAUACCCGAAAGAUGGUGAACUAUGCCUGGCCAGGACGAAGCCAGGGGAAACCCUGGUGGAGGUCCGCAGCGAUUCUGACGUGCAAAUCGAUCGUCGGAGCUGGGUAUAGGGGCGAAAGACCAAUCGAACCAUCUAGUAGCUGGUUCCCUCUGAAGUUUCCCUCAGGAUAGCUUGCGCUCGGUUGAGUCUCAUCCGGUAGAGCGAAUGAUUAGAGGCAUUGGGGUCGAAACGACCUCAACCAUUCUCAAACUCCAAAUAGAUGAGACCCCCGGCUUUCUUAAAAUUGAAGCCGUGGGAUUUGGAUCAGAGUGCCAAGUGGGCCAAUUUUG
RNAcentral lists this ribosomal RNA (557 nucleotides) under cf. Castolus sp. 00004376. Its description in RNAcentral is "eukaryotic LSU rRNA". It matches the Rfam family "Eukaryotic large subunit ribosomal RNA", at positions 669 to 1139 of the family's 3401-position model. Lineage: Eukaryota; Metazoa; Arthropoda; Insecta; Hemiptera; Reduviidae. The record is from RNAcentral.